GAGUGCUAGGUGUUAGACCCUUUCCGGGGUUUAGUGCCGCAGCUAACGCAUUAAGCACUCCGCCUGGGGAGUACGACCGCAAGGUUGAAACUCAAAGGAAUUGACGGGGGCCCGCACAAGCGGUGGAGCAUGUGGUUUAAUUNGAAGCAACGCGAAGAACCUUACCAGGUCUUGACAUCCCUCUGACCGCUCUAGAGAUAGAGUUUUCCUUCGGGACAGAGGUGACAGGUGGUGCAUGGUUGUCGUCAGCUCGUGUCGUGAGAUGUUGGGUUAANNNNNNNNNCGAGCGCAACCCCUAUUGUUAGUUGCCAUCAUUUAGUUGGGCACUCUAGCGAGACUGCCGGUAAUAAACCGGAGGAAGGUGGGGAUGACGUCAAAUCAUCAUGCCCCUUAUGACCUGGGCUACACACGUGCUACAAUGGCUGGUACAACGAGUCGCAAGCCGGUGACGGCAAGCUAAUCUCUUAAAGCCAGUCUCAGUUCGGAUUGUAGGCUGCAACUCGCCUACAUGAAGUCGGAAUCGCUAGUAAUCGCGGAUCAGCACGCCGCGGNGAAUACGUUCCCGGGCCUU
This 571-nucleotide ribosomal RNA is filed under the name uncultured bacterium. RNAcentral describes it as "bacterial SSU rRNA". It matches the Rfam family "Bacterial small subunit ribosomal RNA", at positions 811 to 1382 of the family's 1533-position model. The record is from RNAcentral.